RNAcentral lists this transfer RNA (78 nucleotides) under Nonlabens arenilitoris. RNAcentral's name for it is "tRNA-Val". It matches the Rfam family "tRNA". From Rfam's summary of the family: Transfer RNA (tRNA) molecules are approximately 80 nucleotides in length. Their secondary structure includes four short double-helical elements and three loops (D, anti-codon, and T loops). The record is from RNAcentral. Lineage: Bacteria; Pseudomonadati; Bacteroidota; Flavobacteriia; Flavobacteriales; Flavobacteriaceae.
GUGGGAUUAGCUCAGUUGGUUUAGAGCAUUACGUUGACAUCGUAAAGGUCACUGGUUCGAAUCCAGUAUUUCACACCA